Molecule: unclassified non-coding RNA, 732 nt
Filed under: Hevea brasiliensis (rubber tree)
Lineage: Eukaryota; Viridiplantae; Streptophyta; Magnoliopsida; Malpighiales; Euphorbiaceae
Source: RNAcentral
GUUCUGAGCAUGAUACUUCAACUGUAUAUAUAUCGAACUUCAUGCCUCCUAGCUUGAACAUCGAACAUACAUUGCAGGAGCAAAUAUGUAUUCACAUUAACCAAGUAGCGUCCAAGUUGCAUAUCAAGCACUGAAACCCUUGUGUACAGAGCUCCAAGGGUUCGAGGGGAUCCUUACACAAGCUUGAGCAGACACCUCCGCCAUCGUCUCCUUCCUAAUGCCCGCAUUGCACAUGUUUGCAAAGGAGCGCAUGUGUUUCAUACCAUACUGUGUCAGAGACCCACAAUGUGCUUCGAAAGUUCGAACCAUCGACUUAAGGCACUCCCAGUCAUCUACCAAAGCCUGCCCUGCUGGCCGCACAGCCUUUAGCACUUCCGACGCCUUGUCGGUUCCAAAGAGAAGCUUCCCAAUGAGUGAUACACUAUUGUCCACAUGCAAGCGAUGAUCCAUUACAUCAACCAGCUGUCUUUGAGCAUUAAGUUUUGCAGAAGAGCCUUCUGGUGAUCUCCGGAACUUGUGCCAAUAAUGAAGAAGAUCUGCUUCUCGUUGGUUCACAGGUUUUGGAGAUGUUCGUAACGAGUUAUCAUCAAUGAAAGUGAAAUUGUCGUUUGAAGGAUUCGAACCCAUGUACAAGAAAAGAUGUUCUGUGGUGAGACCUAGACUCCCGUAUUCCAUGACAUGUGACCCAUAGCUAUAUGUGUUUUGAGCUGCCGUUCUGGAUUUGACCGUUUG